CAAGCUCGCACUUCUGUGAGGCCCUGGGCUCGGCUGCGAGCCGGAGGUGCGGGGAGCAGCCAAGGUUGAACCAUCCCGCCUGGGAGGCUGGGGAAGGAGGGUCUCUCCCUGAGUCACUGACCCCACGAACAGGAAGAGGGGCUCCACAGCCCCAGGACGUCUCCAGCGAGGGGGUCCUGGCUCCUGGCCCAGGUGAGGGUGAGGGGAUGGGCGCGUGAUUGAAGUGGUCUUUGGGCUUUUCUUACAGGCAGUUGGGGAGGGGCUUGAGGCUCAGAGGGGAACAGAGGGAGCCCAGCCUGAACCCAGCUCUCCUGCUCAGGACUCUGGCCCCUCCUGGCUGGUGUUAGGCCUACCUGCUGAAAAGCAUCCAGGCCUCAAAGGGCCAGGCAGCUGGGUGGAGCUCCUCCAGGGCAAAGUGCUGGGGUGGCCAAGUCAGUCCAAGCCAAAGAAUAGGUCAGUUUUCCAAGUGGUGGUCACAGCUGGGCAUCUACUUCUCAGGUGGGGCUGGGAAGAGCCUUGGCCUCAGGACCCCAGAGGGCCACACUCCUGGGGUGGGCCUGGGACUCAGCCAGAAUUCAUACCGGGACUCGAACCCAUCCGCACCUCAGAUUUGGACUUGAACCCAUGAUCCCUAACUUAGGAGGGGGCUCGAACCAAAUGUUUUUUUUUUUUAAUUUUUUUAGGGCCACACCUGUGGCAUAUGGAAGUUCCCAGGCUAGGGGUUGAAUCAGAGCUGUAGCUGCCAGCCUACACCAUAACCACAGCAACACAGGAUCCAAGCCAUGUCUGCAACCUACACCACAGCCCAUGGCAAUGCCAGAUCUUUAACCCACUGAGCAAGGCCAGGGAUCGAACCUGUGUCCACAUGGAUGUUAGAUUUGUUGAACCAACUGUCGUUUAAUUGAAAUCAUUCACCUGGUGUCAGGACUUACUGAAGCUCAGGUUCUUUUGAUUCUUCACAGAAGGAAUUCAGCGUGAGGCAAAGCAGCAGGCAAAGAGUGAGUUUAUUAGUAUAGGAUGCUUGUGAGAAAUACAAGCAGGCUGGCCAGGGGAUGCAGCUGUCUCAAGAACAAAGAGAGCUACAUUUUAAUAAAGAAAAAGUGGGGAGGGGAGAAGACCACCUUUUUCCUCAUUUUUAGGUAGAAAUAAGGCUCACAUCGUUACUUCCUCUUUUGACUCUGAUUUAAUCAGGACUGUCAUGGUGCUCUUUAAAUCAUAUGUAUAUUGGCAAAUGGUGGUAACAUAUACUAAAAUAUGGUAUAUGGUAUAUUCAUCUCAGCUUUCCCUUUUCCAGUGGGCCCUUUUACUUAGUUUUUUUUCCCCUUUCAACAAUAUUUCUGAUCUGGCCGCAUGCAAAAAUGUUAUUCUUCAUGUUAUUCUUACAUAACUCCCUUCAUGUAACAAGAGUCAGACCCCAUGUUUAUUGUGUUGUGUUCUAACGGGGUCUGUGGCUUGAGUAUGUCUGGUGCUUAGAUGCACCUGGUCUUCCUUCAAGAUAGUGCGGGUAGUUGCUAAGUUAUUGGACUCUUUUUGAGUGGUCAUGAGCUUAACAACGGUCUCCCAGACUCCCUCAAAAUUCCCUUUUGGGAGUUCCCAUCAUGGCGCAGUGGAAACAAAUCCGACUAAGAAUCAUGAGGUUGCAGGUUUGAUCCCUGGCCUUGCUCAGUGGGUUAAGGAUCUGGCGUGGCUGUGGCGUAGGCCAGCAACUACAGCUUAGAUUAGACCCCUAGCCUGAGAACCUCCAUAUGCUGCAGGUGUGGCCCUAGAAAAGACAAAAAGACAAAAAAAAAAAAAAAAAAAAAUCAGCAGCAAUGGAUGAGGAGUUUGCUUCAGGGGCAACGAAAUGUUCAGUAACCAGAUAGUGGUAAGGGUUGCACAACUCUGUACAUGUACUAAAUGCCACUGAAUUGCACAUUUUGUUUUAGAAAAAUGGUUAAACUGUAAAUUUUAUGUGUAUUUUACCACAAUUAAAAAAAAAUCCAUAGUAAGAAAACACUGAGGAAACCACAUGUUAAAAUAAUACUCUUUGAAAUCACUAAGUCAAAGGAGAAGGCAUAAUGGAACACAGAAAAUUGAGUGAUAAUAAAAAUACAAAGUAUUGAAAUUUAUGAAAUGAAGCUAAAACCAUGCUUAGAGAAGAGUGCAUAGCUUUAAACUCAUUUCUUACAAAGACUGGAAAAAAAAAA
Molecule: long non-coding RNA, 2186 nt
Filed under: Sus scrofa (pig)
Lineage: Eukaryota; Metazoa; Chordata; Mammalia; Artiodactyla; Suidae
Description: lncRNA (ENSSSCG00005041448.1)
Source: RNAcentral